RNAcentral lists this non-coding RNA (27 nucleotides) under Mus musculus (house mouse). The record is from RNAcentral. Lineage: Eukaryota; Metazoa; Chordata; Mammalia; Rodentia; Muridae.
UGUUUUUCUAAGUAACAACAGUCCAGC